UACGGAGGGUGCAAGCGUUAUCCGGAUUCACUGGGUUUAAAGGGUGCGUAGGCGGGCAGGUAAGUCAGUGGUGAAAUCCCCGAGCUUAACUUGGGAACUGCCGUUGAUACUAUCUGUCUUGAAUACUGUGGAGGUAAGCGGAAUAUGUCAUGUAGCGGUGAAAUGCUUAGAUAUGACAUAGAACACCAAUUGCGAAGGCAGCUUACUACACAGUAAUUGACACUGAGGCACGAAAGCGUGGGGAUCAAACAGG
This 253-nucleotide ribosomal RNA is filed under the name uncultured bacterium. Its description in RNAcentral is "partial 16S ribosomal RNA". It matches the Rfam family "Bacterial small subunit ribosomal RNA", at positions 524 to 776 of the family's 1533-position model. The record is from RNAcentral.